RNAcentral lists this long non-coding RNA (230 nucleotides) under Elaeis guineensis (African oil palm). RNAcentral's name for it is "long non-coding RNA (EGUI_LNC073136)". The record is from RNAcentral. Lineage: Eukaryota; Viridiplantae; Streptophyta; Magnoliopsida; Arecales; Arecaceae.
GAUGGUGGUAUGCAAAUCUAAGGGGCAAGGUGGAUUGGGUAUUAAGAAUCUGGAGCAAUUCAAUAUGGCUCUCCUGUUGAAAUGGGCAUGAAAAUUCAUCAAAGGAUCUGAAACCCCUUGGGUGAAGUAAAUUUCAGGAGCCUAUUAUUCUAAAGGUAAAUUUGGUUUAAGGAUGAGAAGAAGUGUCAAAAGACUAUCUCCUAUAUGGAAGGAUAUAAACAAGCAACUAG